Molecule: ribosomal RNA, 549 nt
Filed under: uncultured bacterium
Lineage: Bacteria
Description: partial 16S ribosomal RNA
Rfam family: Bacterial small subunit ribosomal RNA
Source: RNAcentral
UGGGGAAUAUUGCACAAUGGGCGAAAGCCUGAUGCAGCAACGCCGCGUGAGUGAUGAAGGCCUUCGGGUUGUAAAGCUCUGUCUUUUGGGACGAUAAUGACGGUACCAAAGGAGGAAGCCACGGCUAACUACGUGCCAGCAGCCGCGGUAAUACGUAGGUGGCAAGCGUUGUCCGGAUUUACUGGGCGUAAAGGAUGCGUAGGCGGAUUUUUAAGUGAGAUGUGAAAUACCCGGGCUUAACUUGGGUGCUGCAUUUCAAACUGGGAAUCUAGAGUGCGGGAGAGGAGAAUGGAAUUCCUAGUGUAGCGGUGAAAUGCGUAGAGAUUAGGAAGAACACCAGUGGCGAAGGCGAUUCUCUGGACCGUAACUGACGCUGAGGCAUGAAAGCGUGGGUAGCAAACAGGAUUAGAUACCCUGGUAGUCCACGCCGUAAACGAUGAGUACUAGGUGUAGGAGGUAUCGACCCCUUCUGUGCCGCAGUUAACACAAUCAAGUACUCCGCCUGGGAAGUACGAUCGCAAGAUUAAAACUCAAAUGAAUUGACGGGGU